This is a long non-coding RNA of Pyrus x bretschneideri (Chinese white pear), 875 nucleotides long. RefSeq lists it as uncharacterized. The transcript has 2 exons. The record is from RefSeq and is a predicted model, not a curated record. NCBI's taxonomy places the organism in Eukaryota, Viridiplantae, Streptophyta, Magnoliopsida, Rosales, Rosaceae.
UCCAGCCGACCAAACGGUCGAGGCCUUUAGCUCGGAAUUCGACCAAUUCUCAUCACUAAAUGGCACCUCAAAAACUCUACACCAACUAGUUGUUGCGCCAAAAAAAUCAUUUACGUUGCUAAUAUUGCAGAACCACCAAUAAGGCCCCUGCUGAUUCCACUAGAUAAAAGCACGUAAAUAUAGUGUGAUCGUCGACAACUUGUGCGUAAUUUGUCUGGCAUCUUUGGAUCCAAAACAAGAAGGGCUUCCAAAACCACAAGAUACAACGACUGCGUAAUUCGGUGUUCAAGAAGGGCUUGAUGGCGGUAAAAAUCCUAUCAGUAAGUCACAGUUGAACAUCAUGGAGCUUAUCAAGUAUUUUCGCAAUAUUGGGCAACUCAACUAGUGUCUUCUUAAACGGAUGCAACAUCCACAAGAAGAAUGACAAGACUUCCAUUGCUCUUCUAGCAGAUUAAUCUUGUACAUCUUAUCAUUUCCGAUUGAAGGCGUAAAACCUUCUACUUGAACUAUCACUUUUCUUCUAGUAAUAAAUUCUUUCAUCGUGGUCAACUCCACGACUUACCACACCAAAACCAAUAACACCUUCCGUGGAAACUAUCCGUCGGUGAUCGACCCUAUGAGAUCUUGGGGAAGAUUCGAUCAGUUAUGCAUGAUGCAUCAGAGAUCUGCGUAAAGGUGUCGAAAACUUAACUAAAGGUACAAGGAACGGUGCAGCAGCAGCAGAGAGUGCAGAUAGCAACACUACCAGUAGUCUAGUAGUAGCCAUGUGACCCAGCAGCUUUGUAUCUCUGUUGAUAUCCAUGAUUCACAAAACAGCACCAAAAGUGAAGAAUUUAUUCUCCCAAGUUUUGAAAAUAACACAACGAAAUUCUCUU